Ostrea edulis (European flat oyster) is the source of this 751-nucleotide long non-coding RNA. RefSeq lists it as uncharacterized. Lineage: Eukaryota; Metazoa; Mollusca; Bivalvia; Ostreida; Ostreidae. The record is from RefSeq and is a predicted model, not a curated record. The transcript has 2 exons.
GGGAGCUCAUCAAGGUCAUCAUGGCUGCCCACAUGUCGGUGAGCAGCCUGUUUGCUCUUAGGUUUAAGAAGUGCCAGCAUAAAGAUGAAAAGUCCGUGCUUAAGACGGUUGAGGAUAGAACGACACUUGAAGAAGUAUUUCAAUCUGAUCAUGGGGUGUUGCCCAAAAAUUGCAGUCUUCUUGUCAAAACAUCGGUAGAUGACCAUAAUAUUUUCGAUGUUAACCCAAACCUGACAAUUGCCGAUAUUAACCGGUACUUCAAAAUGCACGAGCAGUAAUUAACUGCGUAGAAUGUAGAAAGCCUCGUGUGGUCUACAGCAGGAAAAAGCUAACAACAAAGAGGCAGCUAUGCAGUCUGGCUGUUGCCAUCACAUAAUUCGACUAUACAUGUGGGACAAUUAUGCUGCUAGAUGAGCAUCACAUGUAUAACAUGCUAACUACACGGAUGAACAUUACCUGUCAGAGUCCUAUUGAACUACCCUACUACACCGCUGCCUUAGGACCAGUUGAUGUCUGUGCUCAUUGUGGCUGCACUGGGGCAGACCCAAAAACAGAACUUAAAAAACUGUACAAGACCGUCCUGCCUCUAUGUAAUGAAUGUGAAAAUGAUGGCAAAAAACCUGUCGUGGCCAGAUUGUACGGCAGUUCGGAGUGACUUUUGGAUGUUGUUGUUGAUCUAAAGUGUCCUUUAAUGUUUAUAAAUGAAUUACAAACUGUAAUGAUUGUUUAUUAAAAGAAAACAAAACCAGUA